Molecule: long non-coding RNA, 446 nt
Organism: Helianthus annuus (common sunflower)
Lineage: Eukaryota; Viridiplantae; Streptophyta; Magnoliopsida; Asterales; Asteraceae
Exons: 2
Source: RefSeq, a predicted model, not a curated record
CUUUCUCUCUCAAUGCUCACACAUCUCACAAAAAGGGAUGCCAAAAGCAGGGAAGUACAAUCUACAGGAAAAAGCAACACUUUACUUUUGUGUGAAAGACAGCUUGCUUGCUGCAGUCUCUAUAAUAUAUCAACACUCUUCCAUACACUGUUUGAAAGACAGCACUGCUAGCUUCAGUCUCUAUAAAUAAUCCAGAGAUAUCUACACUCUACUCACACUUUACAAACUCUCAACUACACUCAACUGAAAUUAAUAUAUCAACUCUUUGCAUUCGGAUUUUGCGUUGUUUCUCGGCUCUCACAUCAAGGUUUUAAAAUUUUUGUCGGCUUUUCACAUCUCCCUCUUGCAUUGUUGUAAGUUCUUUCAAAUAUGACAUAGUGAAAGGAUAAAUUGUUUUUGUAGUUUUGAUUUUACUUUGUUCUGUUAUAUUUUGAUCUUUUCCUUCA